AUUGAACGCUGGCGGCAGGCCUAACACAUGCAAGUCGAACGGUAACAGGAAGAAGCUUGCUUCUUUGCUUACGAGUGGCGGACGGGUGAGUAAUGUCUGGGAAACUGCCUGAUGGAGGGGGAUAACUACUGGAAACGGUAUCUAAUACCGCAUAAUGUCGCAAGACCAAAGAGGGGGACCUUCGGGCCUCUUGCCAUCGGAUGUGCCCAGAUGGGAUUUGCUAGUAGGUGGGGUAACGGCUCACCUAGGCGACGAUCCCUAGCUGGUCUGAGAGGAUGACCAGCCACACUGGAACUGAGACACGGUCCAGACUCCUACGGGAGGCAGCAGUGGGGAAUAUUGCACAAUGGGCGCAAGCCUGAUGCAGCUAUGCCGCGUGUAUGAAGAAGGCCUUCGGGUUGUAAAGUACUUUCAGCGGGGAGGAAGGGAGUAAAGUUAAUACCUUUGCUCAUUGACGUUACCCGCAGAAGAAGCACCGGCUAACUCCGUG
Molecule: ribosomal RNA, 490 nt
Filed under: uncultured bacterium
Lineage: Bacteria
Description: partial 16S ribosomal RNA
Rfam family: Bacterial small subunit ribosomal RNA
Source: RNAcentral